CACUAGGCUUCCUACUAUCACUGUCAUUAGACUCUACAUCAUCAUCCUCAUCUUCGUCAUCAAUAGGAUUAGGAUCAUAACUAACAACGGCUUUAUUUUCGAAUAAAGUUAUAUCGAUCGUUGUGGUUCCCAAUCUUCCAACUCGGGUAUGACAGCAUGUGGCUAAUUACGUGGUACAGGAUCAUCAGAUCAUGCUCCAUAAUAGUUGCCACUUAACUAAGAUCGGCCCCUGCAUCAUCAAAUGUAGUAUUACUCCAAUAUUGAUACGUAGCCUCUACUCCGACCAUAUACUAAGAACAUCAGUUAUGGAUGUUGCUGGUCCACCAACCAUACAUACAGAAGUGCCUCUAUACUCAUACCCAGCUUCAUC
Molecule: long non-coding RNA, 370 nt
Filed under: Elaeis guineensis (African oil palm)
Lineage: Eukaryota; Viridiplantae; Streptophyta; Magnoliopsida; Arecales; Arecaceae
Description: long non-coding RNA (EGUI_LNC004806)
Source: RNAcentral